Dreissena polymorpha is the source of this 3744-nucleotide long non-coding RNA. RefSeq lists it as uncharacterized. The transcript has 8 exons. The record is from RefSeq and is a predicted model, not a curated record. NCBI's taxonomy places the organism in Eukaryota, Metazoa, Mollusca, Bivalvia, Myida, Dreissenidae.
AGGUAAUUUCAAGUUAUGUUAUAAAGUAAAUAUUUAAUAUAAGCAAUAUUUAACAAAUUCGCAAAUACGAAUCAAUACACAUUUCUGACCAAGAUGGACGACCGAUGAAAUUAAAUCGGGAGGAGAGUCAAUUAUAUCAAAGAUUCUUUUCAAAUAGUGCGUUUCAAGCAAUAAGCAAGAUGGCCGACAACGCGAAAACACGCAAACGCAAGCCAAACUGGUCGUUUAAAGAGAAAAUGUGUUUAGUGGAUGAAUGUGUUGCCAAAACAAUAGUCUGUAAGCUGCCUGGUGAUAAUGACACACAGGAACAAUUCUGGGUGGCUACCUGUGAGAAGGUGAACACAAUUGGCCAGAAUGGCCGCAAUGUAGAGACAGUAAAGGAGAAAUGGAAUAAAUUAAAGGUAUAUCAACUUAUGAAAUCUAAUGUAUCUUACCACAAUUUAAUUAUAAAAAAUCACCCUGUCAGUUACGUGUGAGGUUUUAUAAAUGAAAGACAUGUUUAUUUGGUGUAGAUAUACAGUUUGUAUAUAUUGUUACUUUCAUAAUUUUCUUAGGAUGACGCGAUACUGAGGCAUCAACUCAGACGCGGCAUAAUCAAUCUAACGGACUCGGAGCAAAAGAUAGUAGACGCACUGAAUAACACAGACACCGGUGAAAUUACGUUGCCCCUCAAUUCAUUGGCUCUACAAAAAACAAGUCUUAAUGAAGAGACCUCAUCAAGCACAAUACUUGAACACGCGUCGGAAAAUCCGCCGAAUAGCUCAUGUGAGACCAAGUCAGAAGAGCCGGUAUUUGAAAGACAGAUAACCGAGGCUUCUGUGCAGUAUGCAAAGUACAUGUUCUUCAAAGAACAAACAGAAAAAGCACGAUUAAAACAGAUUCUGAUCCAACAGCAGAUAAAAACGCAACAAGCUCUUGAGAAGUACUUACUGUUGGAAAAUGAAAAAAAACUUCGUAAGAUUGUGCUGGACACUGUUACUGAACAAUAGGGUUCCAUUCCUUGGUCAGUGUCCAUAGAUUGUUGGACUAACAUGUUUUUUCAUAUUUCCAAGAUGAACAAUUACGGGAGAAAAAUGUAUUUUCCCUUUGUUAUAAUAUCAAAACUGCUAUAUUCAUAUAACUGACAUGACUAAAUAUUUAAAAAUUGUGUCCUUAAUGAAAAUAAUAAACAAUCAGAACGACCAAGAUUAUAUUGUCAAUAUUAACUCUCUUGCAAAGAUUUUAACACUAAAAUGGGUAGGGAAAUGCAUUUAUAAAACAAAAAUUGCAUUAAUCUAAGGCACCAUUUUUAUCAGAUAUGCACCUGCAAAUGUAAGCAACAAUGACAUAUGUACCCACUUUUUAUACUAGAUGCUUCUAAGGCCCAAAUUCUCCCUGAUGCGUUAGACGCACAAUAAUCAAUUAAAGGGAAAUUCUUUAUAAAUACGUUUUCAUUGUUUUCCAACACAUAAUUACAUGCAACGGUCUUAUAUUUGCAACAUUAUUUUCAGUUUGUUAACUUUAAAUGUCUGUUCACCUGAAGCUUUUUAACCAGGUUUUCCAAGGGAAAAAACUGGUUAUUAGAUUGGCGAAUGCGGGCGGGCUGGCUGGCUGGCUGGCUGGCUGGCUGGCUGGCGGGCUGGCGGGCAGGCGGAACAAGCUUGUCCGGGCCAUAACUAUGUCGUUCAUUGUCAGAUUUUAAAAUCAUUUGGCACAUUUGUUCACCAUCAUUGGACGGUGUGUCGCGUGAAAUAAUUACGUCGAUAUCUCCAAGGUCAAGGUCACACUUUGAGUUCAAAGGUCAAAAAUGGCCAUAAAUGAGCUUGUCCUGGCCAUAACUAUGUCAUUCAUUGUGAGAUUUUAAAAUCAUUUGGCUCAUUUGUUCACCAUCAUGGGACGGUGUGUCGCACGAAAGAAUCAUGUCAAUAUCUCCAAUGUCAAGGUCGCCACGACUAAAAAUAGAUUUUUUUUAAAAACAAACUUACAAAGGGGGUUAAUUUUGUUUGUUCAUUUCAAAAGUUCAGUUUGAGUUUUCUCCCUUUAUCAGAUUUUUUUUUUCACAAUGAAAACCUGGUUUUAGACAAUUUUGUCCCUUGUUUUUCUUGUAAUUAUUUGUUAUGUGAUCGCUAAUAAAGACAUAAUAUGGUUUGUAAUUUUGAUUAUAAGCAUAAUGUAUAGAGGAAAUGAUGCAUUUGUUGAAUAUUUCAAAAAAAUAAACAUGUUCUAAGACACUAAGGAUUAGAUCUAAAUUCUGUAAAUUAUGUGUAAGUCAUUAUUUCUCCUAUGGUAAAGGUAGUUUGUUUUUUCCACCGUCCAUGCCUAUUGCUUUGUCUUUGUAUGUCACUGUCUACAAUUAUAUAGAUAACGUUUGACUUUGGAUGUGUUGCAUAUGCAUUUCUUUGUAUGUCACUGUCUAUAAUUAUAUGGUAUAUUGUGUUGCAUAUGUAUUUCUUUGGAUGUCACUGUCUAUAAUUAUAUGGUAUAUUGUGUUGCAUAUGUAGUUAUAUAUGUGUCUGUUUCCAGAGUCUUGUAAUAAAAUGUGUUGGGGAAAAAAUUAAGGGAAUUUUCGUCCACACAAACAACAUCUUUAUAUAUGCUCAACAUUUGACAUAAUAGAACAUAUUCAAUAACUUAUAUUUAAAGAUAUAAUUCAUUUAUGAUAACGGACAAAUUAAGGUUAUUCAGCAGUUGACGUUUAUACAAUGCGAGGUUAGGUGAAAUGCAAUGCUUAAGGCUUCCAACGCUGUACAUUGACUAAAUUGUUAUUAUUAUGAUGUAUAUAUGAAGAUUACAGUUAUGCCCCAAAGAAUGACACAUUAAGCAUCUCACAUUUCAAUCCAUAUAUUGUCUUUUGGGAUCCAUUUUAUUCUUAAAAGUUGUCAAAUGUUCGGGCACUCUCCGCCACGAUAUUUAGUGACUGUUACUGUCCAUCGUAAUACCUCACCUCUGCAUGUAUUGUUGGCCUAAGCAAUGGAAUGGAAGUGGAACUGGAAUAUCAGAGUUCACAAGGAAAAAAAUCACACAUUAAUUAACCAUACUGUCGUCCAUAUUUAUAGUCUACCUAUUAUAUGUUGUGCUGUUCAAGUUUUGAGCAAAUGAAAAAGUUACAUUAAAAUCAAAAAUUUAAUAAAACAUAGUUACCAAUAGGAAUACAAAUUACCAUGAAAGUCAGCUACUUCAGACAGAAAGGCCUUCUUUGCCAAAGACUCACAGCACCUACCAAAGUAUUAACACACAUUAAUUACUUAAUUACUCAAUGUAAAAAAUGUUAAAUUAAAAAAAUUGUAUGGUUCAAUCAAAUUACAUUAUACUUUUAUAUAUUUUCUUGCUGAUGUUUAUGGUAUACAUUGUAUUAAAAAAUUCUUAUACAUUAAAAAACAGUUUUUUUUUCCAAAUUUGAUUAUUAUAAUGCACCUAGAAACAAUAAGAAAAUCAGAAAAAUAUCAAUGAAGAUGUUGUUUGAAAAGCAUUUGUAAGUGGCCAGUAACAAUGUAGACCUAUUACUAAAAGGGAAAGACAAAUGCGUGGGAUGAAAAUUAAGCAUACACGUAAUAAAGCAGACGUUGCUGUCAAGUCGGUUCUACUUUUUACACUGUACGGUAUUUCAUUUGCCCAUGAUUAUUAAGCAUUUAACUGUACAUCACACAGUGCUUUAGCUUAUAAUUAUAUGCAUGUCUGACAUGAACUAUAGCUGGACUGCAGGGUAUUCUUAUGGCAACUUCAGUUGAAGUCAUUAUGGAAACAAAUAAAUAAAUUGAAAAAUUA